Molecule: long non-coding RNA, 246 nt
Organism: Mizuhopecten yessoensis (Yesso scallop)
Lineage: Eukaryota; Metazoa; Mollusca; Bivalvia; Pectinida; Pectinidae
Exons: 2
Source: RefSeq, a predicted model, not a curated record
UUUCAUUUCAUUUGUUGACAGAAAUCAGAUGGCUCAAAAUGGAAUAGAAGAAAUGGAUCAAGCGGCAGAGGAACAACUUUUGGCAGACACAAUGGACACCAAUGAAUCAAAAAAUGAAAACCCAAAAAAUCAUCAGAAACUUUUAGACUAUGGUAUUAAUGUUAAAGUUGCUGAUGAACUCCAGAAAAUGUGUAGCCAAGAUAAACUUGACCAUGACGAACUUGAUGAAAGAGCGCUGGAUGCUCU